UAGGGAAUCUUCGGCAAUGGACGGAAGUCUGACCGAGCAACGCCGCGCGAGUGAAGAAGGUUUUCGGAUCGUAAAGCUCUGUUGUUAGAGAAGAACGUUGGUAGGAGUGGAAAAUCUACCAAGUGACGGUAACUAACCAGAAAGGGACGGCUAACUACGUGACAGCAGCCGCGGGAAUACGUAGGUCCCGAGCGUUGUCCGGAUUUAGUGGGCGUAAAGCGAUCGCAGGCGGUUCUUUAAGUCUGAAGUUAAAGGCAGUGGCUUAACCAUUGUACGCUUUGGAAACUGGAGGACUUGAGUGCAGAAGGGGAGAGUGGAAUUCCAUGUGUAGCGGUGAAAUGCGUAGAUAUAUGGAGGAACACCGGUGGCGAAAGCGGCUCUCUGGUCUGUAACUGACGCUGAGGCUCGAAAGCGUGGGGAGCAAACAGG
RNAcentral lists this ribosomal RNA (429 nucleotides) under Bacillota bacterium. Its description in RNAcentral is "Firmicutes bacterium partial 16S ribosomal RNA". It matches the Rfam family "Bacterial small subunit ribosomal RNA", at positions 355 to 776 of the family's 1533-position model. Lineage: Bacteria; Bacillati; Bacillota. The record is from RNAcentral.